RNAcentral lists this ribosomal RNA (428 nucleotides) under uncultured Erysipelothrix sp. Its description in RNAcentral is "bacterial SSU rRNA". It matches the Rfam family "Bacterial small subunit ribosomal RNA", at positions 948 to 1382 of the family's 1533-position model. Lineage: Bacteria; Bacillati; Bacillota; Erysipelotrichia; Erysipelotrichales; Erysipelotrichaceae. The record is from RNAcentral.
AAUUCGACGCAACGCGAAGAACCUUACCAGGCCUUGACAUACUCGGCAAAGCUCUAGAGAUAGAGUGGAGGUUAUCCGGGAUACAGGUGGUGCAUGGUUGUCGUCAGCUCGUGUCGUGAGAUGUUGGUUAAGUCCCGCAACGAGCGCAACCCUUGUCUUUAGUUACCAUCAUUAAGUUGGGGACUCUAGAGAGACUGCCGGUGAUAAACCGGAGGAAGGUGGGGAUGACGUCAAAUCAUCAUGCCCCUUAUGGCCUGGGCUACAAACGUAAUACAAUGGCGUAUACAAAGGGAUGCGAAAGGGCGACCUGGAGCAAAACUCGCAAAGUACGUCUCAGUUCAGAUUGGAGUCUGCAACUCGACUCCAUGAAGGCGGAAUCGCUAGUAAUCGCGGAUCAGCAUGCCGCGGUGAAUACGUUCUCGGGGUUU